This 73-nucleotide transfer RNA is filed under the name Myotis brandtii (Brandt's bat). It matches the Rfam family "tRNA". Rfam says of the family: Transfer RNA (tRNA) molecules are approximately 80 nucleotides in length. Their secondary structure includes four short double-helical elements and three loops (D, anti-codon, and T loops). The record is from Rfam by way of RNAcentral. Lineage: Eukaryota; Metazoa; Chordata; Mammalia; Chiroptera; Vespertilionidae.
GCCAGUGUUGCUCAGUGGAUAGAGCGUUGGCCUGCGGACUGAAGGGUCCCGGGUUCGAUUCCCGGUCAGGGCA